This is a long non-coding RNA of Quercus robur (English oak), 683 nucleotides long. RefSeq lists it as uncharacterized. The transcript is spliced from 4 exons. Lineage: Eukaryota; Viridiplantae; Streptophyta; Magnoliopsida; Fagales; Fagaceae. The record is from RefSeq and is a predicted model, not a curated record.
AUCCAGUAUUUUACAAGCAAAUAUUUUCUAUCAUUGCCUUCCCUGGUAUCAACUUGAAAAAUAAUGGCACAUCAAUUUCUUUCACUGAAAAUUGAGCAAGAAUAUGUUCAGAAUUCAGAACGAGUAAAAUCUAUUGAUCUACAUCCAACUGAGCCAUGGUAGUCACAUAUAAGUGCACGUUUGGUCACUUCAAGUCUAAGUUUUGCAUGUGCACAUAGGAACGUGGACUUCAGGUUUAAUUGGGUAUCUUAAUAAAUUGGCAUUGAACUCGCGUUCCAGUAAAAAUGCAUAGUUGCAUGCUUGGUCGUUAGAGUUGGGGCUGGAGAUAUAUUUUGGCUCUAUAGUUGCAUUGUAUGGGGGGAUCGGGGUAAGGCAGCAAUUGAUGCCAACGCAACUACUUCCAGCAAUUUCAGUACUGUUUAUCCCACACCGGAACAUGCACCCAGCGAUAACUGAGCCAUCUAGGGACUUCAUUGAGGCAAAGAUAUUGCAACCUAUGGCGAUGAAACUGUUUUUGGAUUGGGAGAAGACAAAAGGGCUUUUUGUGAAGUCCACAAUUUCUGUGGUCUUUGUAAUACUAUUAUAACAGCUUGAAAAUGUGGGAUAGUUGACGCGAACUGUGCCUUGUAAUGAAAUAUCCAGAACCUCCAGGUUGAAUCUCCUCAAGAAAGGCUUGGGAAGGU